Molecule: ribosomal RNA, 458 nt
Filed under: Paramiopsalis anadonae
Lineage: Eukaryota; Metazoa; Arthropoda; Arachnida; Opiliones; Sironidae
Description: partial 16S ribosomal RNA
Rfam family: Archaeal large subunit ribosomal RNA
Source: RNAcentral
UUCUUAUAGGAUUUAUUAUAAGUCCGACCUGCUCUAUGAAUCUUCAAUAGCGGUUAUACCCUAAGGUAGCAUAAUCAUUAGCCUUUUAAUUAAAGGAUAGUAUGAAAGGUUACACGUAAGUAUCUCGUCUUGGUUCUAUUUAAUCGAAAUUAGUCUAAAGAUAAAAAAAUCUUUAUUUCCUUUAGGGACAAGAAGACCCCAUAAAGCUUUAUUAUUAGUCCUAAAAUUCUUUGGGACUCAUAAUUUAAUUGGGGCAAUUCUAUUUAUUACAACUUAUAGAACAAUCUUUUUGAUCCAUCAAUGAUGACCACUUGAAUCAGUUACUUUGGGGAUAACAGCAUAAUUAAAAUUAGAGAGUCCUUAUUAAUAAUUUUGCUUAUGACCUCGAUGUUGGAUUAUAAUUCUCUUAAGUGCAGAAGCUUAAAAAAGAAAGUCUGUUCGACUUUUAAAUAUAUACA